CUGUCUCCAUCCGAGUCCCCAUCAGCUGUUGGAGCAGCGUGCAGGCAGCGGGCUGCUGGACCAAGAGGCUGCGAACACUUUACGGUCCAUGUAUCUUUCCCUACUCGGUACCAGAGAACCAAUACAUGAAGAUGAGGUGUUCCUCAUGGCUGGAGUGCCUUCUCUGCUGCGUCCUUGUUCUCGUUGGACAAGCGGCAUCGCAAUGGCCAGGUCAUGCAGCGUAACAGGACCACACGGUAACGCAGCACAGCUGUCCAACACCAGGACAGAAAAAGUGUCCAUGUGAGGAACACUUACUGAGGAGACUGGAAAGGAAAUGGAGAUACACUGUAGUUUACUCCAAUGCGGAUGUGUUUUUAUUAGAAAACCACGGUGGUCACAUCUUGCUUUGAUUACUUAAUUCAACCCAUCUGGAUUUUGUAGUGAAUCUGAGGAGUUGUAUAUCCGUACUGGACAUUGAAGAACAAGGCCCAGUUUGAGAAUCACCCCAGCGGCACCAGGCACACAAAUGAGGAACAUUGCCAAGCUCAGGGGGGUUCUAUCCAAUGCAGAACUGGAGAUGGCUAUCCAUGCCUUUAUUUCAUCCCGGCUUGAUUAUUGCAAUGCUCUGUUCUC
This is a long non-coding RNA of Notothenia coriiceps (black rockcod), 615 nucleotides long. RefSeq lists it as uncharacterized. Lineage: Eukaryota; Metazoa; Chordata; Actinopteri; Perciformes; Nototheniidae. The transcript has 4 exons. The record is from RefSeq and is a predicted model, not a curated record.